Molecule: long non-coding RNA, 28673 nt
Filed under: Solanum melongena (eggplant)
Lineage: Eukaryota; Viridiplantae; Streptophyta; Magnoliopsida; Solanales; Solanaceae
Description: long non-coding RNA (SMEL_LNC000231)
Source: RNAcentral
UUAAGAUAUGUCCUUGUAGUAAUUGACCUCUUAGAUUUAGUUGAUUUUAUAUUGAUACUGCAACGAUUAUUUACACCAUAAAAUAUACUAUAUAAUUCAAAUUCUAGUAAAGAACACGUUUACUAGUCAACGCCAGCUGCAACCUAAAAUAUUCAAGACUUUGGAAAAAGUAUAUACUACCACUAAGUCAAGUUUGGUUCCCAAACCAUUUUGUACGUUUUAUGAUAUAUGUCGUUGGUGGAAGAUAAUAAGUAUCCAGUGAAAUUAGUUGAGGUGCGUGGAAAUUGACUUAAAGUUAUUACAUGGUACGUACUUGUUAGGGGUGGAAAGUAGCAAGUAUUUUGUGAAAAUAGUCGAGGUGCGCGCCAAGAUAACUCAUAGGUAUAGCAAGUAUCCUAUCAAAUUAGUCGAGGUGCUAGCAAGUUGAUCCAAAUUGUUCGUGUGAGGUAGAAAGUAUACCACGAAACUAGUUCAGGUGCGUAUAAGCUUACCCAAAGUUAUCUGAUACUUGUUGAUGUUGGGAGGUGGAAAAUAUUGUUAUACAAUUUGUGCUAAUUAAAAGAAAUUUGCCCAAAACACGACUAUCAAAGUUUAAAUGAACCAGUAAAAAACAAAAAGUAAUUAAUAAAGACUAAAAAAAAAAAACAUACCAGAAUCUGUUAAAAAUCAAGUACACUGAAUGCACAGUAUCCCUUAAGGAAAUUAUCCCCCUCUAGUAUCCGAUGAAGAAUUACUAGUAUUUAUAGCCAAGAGGAACUAGUUCCGAAAUAAUCUCUCGAUCGAUCAUUUUCAAGAUCCUAAGCCGAGGGACGACGGCAUGAGGGGGUUCGUCUUUUCAAUCCUUUUAACCGCUAAUAGAAGUGUUUUUCUAUUUUUCUUUCUACCACCAAUGAGGAAGAAAUGUCUUUUCUUAAAGCAUAAGAGAAUAUUUUUCAAUUCCUCUGUUUAUCUUUCUUCAUUUUUCAUUAACUCUUGCUAUAUCAAACAAAUAUCCUAUAAAAUUAGUUAAGAUACGCACAAGCUGACUCAGACACCACAGUUACAAAAAAAAAAUGGAUGCUAGCUAAGACCAUCAAAAAAGGAAGAAAAUUCCAAUAAUCUUCCUAAUCAAUUGAAAUUUUUGUGCUUGCCUAUUUUGACAAGGUCAACUUUUCAAUAGUUUAACAAACAAAAUGACUUAAACUUAGUUAACAUAAUUCAAAUAUCUUCACAAAAGACUUUCAUACUAGAACAAUAGUUCUUUAAUGGCAUGCCUAAAAAUCCUACUAUUUUUCCUCUUCAUAACCAUUUCUUUUGCCCAAAACACCACAAUAUUUCAAGGCCAACACCUUAGAGUUGGAGAAAAACUGGAAUCACCAAACAAAGAAUUCAGGCUUGAGUUUUUUAGCCUUGAUGGCAAUAAAACACAAUAUAUAGGCAUAUUCUACAAUUUACCCUCUAACAUGACCUUAUACCCCGGUGAUGAUCGCCCCGUUUGGGUUGCAAAUCGCGAUAGUCCAAUACAAUAUGCAUCAGGUAACACUCUCACAUUGGAUGAUGAUGGAAAUUUGAAAAUUUUCUAUGGAGAGGAUAGUUUUGUUAUGUUAAGUUCUUAUAAUGUAACAACAAGGAAUGCAAGUGCUACACUAUUUGAUAAUGGAAAUUUUGUGUUAGUGGAAUUGAAUAGUAACGGUUUAGAGAACAAAACAUUGUGGCAAAGUUUUGAUUAUCCUACUGAUACACUGUUACCUGGGAUGAAACUAGGGAGAAAUGUUAAAACAGGACAAGUGUGGUCACUGGUUUCUUGGAUAAGCAAAGAUGUACCUGCCUCGGGGUCAUUUACGUUUGGUAUAGAUCCGAUUGACAUUGACCAAUUGAUAAUAUGGUGGAUGGGAAGUGUGUUUUGGACGAGUGGACGCUGGGGAAAUGAGACGUUUGGCAAUGUAUCGCGAGUAUCACACUAUGAUUAUGUUAGCUUGAGUUAUGUUUCGACAGUGGAUGAGAAGUAUGUGACUUAUUCGGUUAGUGAGACUCGAACUUUGUCUAGAUAUGUAAUGGAUACGUUUGGUUUUAUUAAGGAAAGAGGAGCAGCAGGACCUUUUGGGGUGUGUUUUUACAAGCCUAGUCCUGGUUGUGUGACAGAAGAAUCGAUAGGGUGCUCGAUAAGAAACAAUUCGUGGUUCAAGAGAAGGCAAAAUAAUGUAUCUGGUAAUAGAUUUAGGUUUGAAGACAACAACAUGAGUUUAUUUGAUUGCAAGAGCCAGUGUGAGAAAAACUGUUCUUGUGCUGCUUUUGCCUCUAUCACAGCUAAUGGAACUGGUUGUGAUAUUUGGAGUAACGUAUCGAUUUUGAACUCACUUGAAUCGGAUGUUUUCAUUCUUGAUGACGAAAGAGGUAUAUUCAUAUUUACUUCGUUGUCUUUUUUAUGCUGUUGUCGUGUAACCAGGAGGUAAGGCUGCGUACAGUUGACUCUUGUGGUUCAGGGAAGUGCAUUGUUUCUAUGUCUAGCAAGUAACGAGAGUUAGUAAAGCGGACUCUAACGAUGAAUUGUGCAAUGUGUUUUUACAGAUUUGGUGCCAAUAAGAAAUCGGAGCAGCACAAAUGUACCAAGCACAAUCUCACUUCCUCCAGAUUUAGCACCAGAACCAUCUCCUAAUUCAACGUCAGGAUCGUCUAAAGGAACUUGUAUGUAUUUGUGUAUAAAUCUUGCUCUUGAACUAUUGUAUAUGAUUGAAGGUGAAAACCUUUUUUUGAUUGUUUCGUCGAUAUAGUCUAUUUAAUAAAGAACUACACGUUUUAGGCACGCAUUCUUUUGUUGUAUCAUCAUUACACAAUCUAGUCCUUGUUACGAGUAUACAGACCUUACACAAUCUGCACUGUUUUCCUUUUUACUUGUCAUGCUUUCUGCAUUGUCGUUUUAUCCGUUUGUAUAACUACUUUGAUUUGUUGCUCUUGAGCCGAGGGUCCUUCAGAAACAGCCUCUCUACCUUCACUCGUUAUGUUGUUUUGUUGUUGAUGCAGCAACAAAAUGGUGGAUAUGGCUUAUAGCUGCAACCGGUUUGACACUACUCGUAGGACUUAGCUCCCUAUGCUACUUUCUAUACGGAAAAGGUGAGCACUCGAAGAAUUUAGCUAGAAUCUUGCACCAGUAAAAUUCAACUAUGUUGCUCGGACUCUGCUAAAAUGCAAGCCACAGUACUACUCCUGUCGGAUCCUUAAAAAAAAACACUACUUUUGACGGAUCUGGCACACACCAAACAACAUUUUUUAAAAGUCCGAGCAAUAUAGAAAUGCUAUACUUGGGUUCUGAUCCCCACAACUUCCUCUUUCACUAUCAGGGAAAGCAAAAGCAGCAGCUUUGUUAUUGCUUAAUCAAACAGCAAAUGUAUCUAAAAAGAGAAAAGUAGACAAGAAAAUGAGCCAUGAAGUGCAGUUAUACAGCCUCGAAAUCCUAGCAAUCGCCACAGACAAUUUUUCACCAGGAAAUAAGCUCGGGGAAGGUGGAUUCGGACCUGUUUACAAGGUAAACAUGAUACAUUUUAUAUGAAUAUGAUUCACGGAAGCAUAAAUACUUAAACGAGUAACUUUUUUUUCAGGGAGAAAUGCUUGAUGGACAAGAAGUAGCUAUAAAAAGACUUUCGACUAGUUCAGGACAAGGCCUAUUGGAGUUCAAGAAUGAAAUUUUAUUGAUUGCAAAACUUCAACAUACUAACCUUGUUAGGCUUCUAGGAUACUGUACUCAACGCGAAGAACGGAUUUUAGUAUAUGAAUACAUGCACAACAAAAGCCUAGACUUCUUCCUCUUUGGUAAAUCUCAUGUUUUUCAUCUUCAACGAUUCGAAUACUUUGUCAAGAAAUUUCAUUCUUUACACUGAUAUGAACAGAUAGUAACAAAAAGGAGCUACUAAAUUGGGAGACACGAUUCAGAAUCAUCGAAGGGAUUGCUCAGGGUAUACUGUAUCUGCAUAAAUAUUCAAGGUUGAAAGUGAUUCAUAGAGAUUUAAAAGCAAGCAACAUCUUACUUGACGCGGAAAUGAAUCCAAAGAUAUCAGACUUUGGCAUGGCGAGGAUAUUUGGAACACAAGAAUCAGAAGCAAAUACGAAAAGAAUUGUUGGAACACAGUAAGUAAAUAAGCAAUGUUUUCAUAUACAAGUUUUUGUAUUACAUUACUUGAAGUUCUGAAUACAUUUUUCGGAUACAACUUCAGUGGCUAUAUGUCUCCAGAGUAUGCCUUGAGAGGCAUUGUUUCAACGAAAACGGAUGUAUUCAGCUUUGGAGUUUUACUGUUAGAAAUUGUUAGUGGCAAGAAAAACAACAGCUGCUAUGAUACCGAACAUCCAUUAAACCUCAUAGGACUGGUAAGUCUCUCGACUAAACUAUGAACAUAUCUCGCGAAAUGUAGAAACAUAUAACUAUUAGUACUAUGUUUUUAGGCAUGGGAGUUGUGGAGAGAAGAGAGAGCUUUGGAGCUAAUAGAUGCAACACUAAUUGAAUCAUGUUCGCGCGAUGAAGUAAUGAGAUGCAUUCAUGUGGGACUUCUUUGUGUGCAAGACUAUGCAAAAGAUAGGCCUUCAAUGUCAAAUGUUGUUUCAAUGCUUAUGAAUGAUACGAAACAACCACCACCACCACCACAACGACCAGGAUUUUUCAUUGAGAGAGGGGAUCAACGUGCAGAGAUCUCCGAAGAAGUAGUAAGAUACUCGAUAAACGGGCUAUCAAUAUCAGAGCUGAGAGCAAGAUAAGAUACAAGAUGUAACUUAGUUAACAUUCUUUUGAUGAAAUGUAAAAAGUCACCAACUUCAAGUAACUGAUUUCGAGUCCUGUUUCUCUGAUACUAUUACAUAGGCAACGCGGAGUUAUGGCAAUGGAGGCUUCACCAUUACCUUCUCCCCUCCCGCCUGAUAGCAACGUCACAUGUUACAUUUAAAAUGUGUGAGAAUACACUUGACACUCAUCGAUUAUAUACGUCGAAAGAGAAUAUCAGAAGAGUUUCUGAACUAUGAAUAUUUGUAUAUUAGACAAAAGAGGUAUCUGAUAAUGUACAUUCAUAUUUUCUCAUUCUGAGCUUUACAUGUUCCACAAAUUGGCUGUGAACUAGUUUACACUCAAUUCACUACAAAAAUAAAGAACAAUUUUGGUUUACACCUCAACUCACUACAAUUAUGAUGAUUUAGCUUCAUCGAUAUUGUUUUCUUUAUCUCUAACAAAAACUAAACGAUCACCAUCUCUGAUCAACUCGAUUUCAUCGAUUUCAGCUCCAUCUUUGCUAACAACUUUGGCCUGAGAGAUACCAUAUCUACUAGAACCAAUUUGAAGUAGCUCUUUAAAACUCUGUGGGAGUAAAAUGAGUUUUCCCCCAUUGUCUCCUUUCUCAGGGCAACACACGAUCACUCGAGGAGCAUAAGUCUUGGUUGUCGUGAUACUUACAUUAGUGUCGUUUGCAGAUAAAAGCACGUCGUGCUCAUUGGUCUGCUUUGCUGACAUUAUCCCGAAUAAUGAGUUGUGGAAGUUAUUAGACCUGCGUCUAGGACGUGAUCGUCCUAAUGAUCCAUCUAGUCCUAGAAAUGAGACUCCAUGUGAUACAGGGGAGAUUGUUGGCUCACUUUUGAACCUACCAAGAAAUCGAACCCCUCGUUCCUCUGGGAUAGGAUCAACGGAUCGUGUUCUCAUCAUUACUCUGGAUUCGAAGAGUUCUUUGAUGUCUUCAUGUCCUUGUUGCUCAGCAAGGUCCCGAGGGGUCCAAUUAUGUUCGUCUGGUUGAUCAACGUUAGCCCCUCGAUCCAAGAGGUACUUUACUAUUUCUAUGUUACCUUCACAGACAGCUACAUGGAGAGCUGAUGAACCGUUGAUCUUGGGAAGAGUGACAUCCCCGCCAUAACGGACAAUCUCCUUGAGCAAACUCAAGUUGUUUUGUUCAACAGCAACGCAGGCGAAAUGUCCCACAUCACCAGCUGAUAGUUUAGCACCGUUGUCAAUGAGUAACUGGAUAACUGAUUCAUGCUUCCCCAUGAUAGCCUCCCACAAUGGCACAUUGCCUUCUGAAUCUGUGUAUGCACAAGAAAUAGAAUCAAACUCCUAAAUCUGGCUUUGUGUCGAUGGACGUGGUAGGAAAAGGAAACAACUGAUAGUUUGAGUGUGAAACUCGCAAAAAAACGAUAGGCCAGUUGUGUUUUUGACUAUAAACUCUUAUAAAUGUUUGGACAAAAACAAACUUUUGUCAUGGAGCUACCUCUACUAUUGGGAUCAGCCCCGAAAUCGAGCAGAAGAACCACACAGUUCUCAAUGCCUUUAGACGCAGCGAUAUGCUGAUAAGAGAAAAAAACCAAUAAGAAAUUAAGUUACAUAGAAUCCAAGCUUAAGGUAACAGAUGAUCGUUAAGGAACUAACCAACGCGGAUCUUCCAUUGUUAUCUGAUUCAUUUGGAUCAAGACCGCGCUUUAACAAGUGAUGCAACAAUAAGUCAUCACUUCUAAGUGUUGCAAAGCAAAGGGUGAGAGGCAAGUCCAUUCUACCGCGAGCUAACAUAUGCUCGGUCUCAAGUAGAACACCCUCCAUAAUUGGAUUCUUCAUUUCCUUCAAAUGCUGCGAAAAGAGAGAAAACAUAACAUAUAUGUUAAGUCAAAUCAUUUCAUUUGAAAUCGUCCAAAUUAGGAAACGUUUGAGGCGUUCAUACCUGAAGUAGAUUAUUCAUGAUUAUUGUCCCGUCCCCAACAUUGGCCUGGACGAUAUUCAGAAAUGUGGUACGAUUCAUACGUAGUAGCUGGCACAGUCUCUUCGUUCGUACUGUAAAUAGUUGAGGCCUAUAACAAAGAACCCCGAUUUCACCACAAAGAUCACCAGCCCUGACCUCCCCAACAACCUGAAGUAUCCGUUUUAGUAUCAGCUCACCACUUGUGGUUUCGUAAAAGAUAUAUAUGUGUUUCAUCAAAAUGAAUCGAGUGAACGUAUUGAAAAUAUGAAGGUUUUUGCACAUGUUUGAUGAAACUUGCCUGUUCAACUCCGUUUUUAAGCACUACUAGAUCCUGUCAUAUAGGCUCAACAUUAGACUUGUACUAGCAAGUAAAACACCACGAUACAUGAAAAUUUUCCGCGUGCAGAUACCAAAAAAGAGGUUCAAAAUUACCACAGCUCCUGUUACAAGAAUAUAGAAGUCGGUUGGUGCUUCAUUCUGCAAAAUGACAUCCUCUUUGGGAGGAAAGUACUCUGCCUUCAUCUCGGAGACCUUGAAUCACGAAGAAAAUGUCAAAUAUUAGAGAAAAAAAGAUCUGAUUUAGGACGGCAAUUAAAUAUCUAAUUCAUGAAGUUACCAGCUGGAAGAGUAGAUCAUUUGACACUCCACGAAACAGGUAAACCUUAUCUACUAAAGAGUAGAAAAGAAAAUGUGAAACGCUUGAACGGAUAGCUUUAGGAAGAGACUCGAGUGUCUCUUGCUGCUGCAGCCCUUCCGAGUCUGUUCUGAACUUCAAGCACAAGUGUGCAAGCAUCUGAUCUUGGAGUCGAGCAGGCAAUUGGUUCCUCUGUGCAAAGCUCGAAGCAGCUUGAAUUGUAUCUCUCUGAUGCAGCAAUUUCAACAGAUGCAUUUUAGAACCUAACAAAAUUAUAGAAUUACUGAUAAAACAAUCGAACGAUAGGUUAACUUUUACUCACAAAUUUUCUAGUCCUACUCGUCCCGUGCACAACCAAGUUAGUCAUAUUUCCUAUUAAGUAUGCUGUCAAUCCCAAGUUAAAGAGCAUGUAGAAAAUAUCAAAGAUCAUUUCCCGCGUAUUCUCUGGAUGCAGAUCUCCAUAACCGACUGUAGUGAGAGUAGUUAUCGACCAAUAAAUAGAAGUGACAUAACGAAUCCAUAAGCUCUGAUUAAGGAAGUCAUCCAUAGCAACUCCGAUCCAUGUCCUCUUUGGAUCAGGAUAAUGAACCGCGAUAAGAUAAUAAAAGCAUCCGGCACAAUGAACAGCAAAAAGAGUGACCUAUAGAGAAGAACCAACACAUUGAUCAGAACAACAUCGAUUCAACGCUUAACCAAAGGAGGGAGAAAUGUACUUACACAAACAAGCUUUGCACAUCGAACCCAAAAGUAAUUGAAGUUCCUAUCUUUCUCCAAUCUGUUUCAAACAAAAACAAUGACACAUCUCUAUAACAGUCGCCCUAUAUAACAACAUUUCACUAUAACGACUAAGUUUUCUUUGGAAAAAUCGACUUUCAUGUUUAUGUUCUCUAUACUAGCAACCAAAAAUACACUAGACGAACAACAUUGUUAUAGAGAGGUCUGACUAUAGUACCUUGCAAACAAUGCACUAACUCUUCUUAGACGCCACAAACGAAGCAUAUUGAAUAAUCCAUACUGACGUAAAGGUUUUGGGGAAAUCUUCACAGCAAGUUCUGAAGGGAUUGUUGAUAUGACAUCGAAUAAGAACCAAGUACUCAUAUACUUCCAAGCAAUCUUUUUAUGUUCAUCGACAAGUAGAUAAGUGGUUCUAUCCAAGAAAGCUACGAAGAAGGUAAGAAUGAUAUCAAUCGCGAAGAAUCCAUUGACUACAUUGUCCGUCUUAGCAAGUGGCCCUGCUGGUUUUCCUAGAAAGCCAAACUCGAACGGGGACACCCAAGCAGUGUAAACAACCAGCACAACUAGAAAUGUCUCCCAUAACCUACAAACAUUACAGUAAACCUGAGAUGAUUAUAGCAAAAAUCCGUGAUCAUUACUAAACGACGAGCAGGACUAAUAAGUAAUAACCAAUCAAAAUCUCUCAAAGGAAAAUGAACGAUGACUCGUCAAUCAAAUGCAACAUGUUGAACGUGUUAACACAUUAUCCGAAAUAAGAAAGUUACAAAUUUUUAGAUAUAGGAUUGUUCUUAUUAAGCAAUGUAAAACAUAAAUAGAAAGUUGUAGCUGAUUCCACUGCUCGAACCUAUGACCUAAUGACUCGACAACUUUAUUGUUGUGAUUGAUUUCUUAGACAAUGUCAAAUGAUUGAAAUCAUCAAAUAUGUGAAACACACAAGUUUACUAGGCUCAUUUUUGUUAGUAUUGUCGGAAAAUAACUUAUGUCAAUAAAAUAAUUGAGAGAUAUACCCCUAACUAUCGUAAAUGGUAUGCAAAUAUUCUCCUUCAUACUUUUGGGACAUUGGUGCCCCUGCUGUCCAAAAAUUAGAGUAUAUAUACCCUUUAUACUAAUGGACAUUGACGUGUCAUUAUCUUAUCCACCGAUAAAAUUGUGUCAUGUGUCCCUAUUUAGUAUUCCAUUAGAGUGAAGGGCAUAUAUAUUCCAGUUUAUGGAUGACAAUGCCUCAAAAAUAUGAUGAAAGAUAUUUGCAUAUCAUUUACGAUAAUUCGAAAAAAAAAAUUUAAAAAAAAGUGUUCUAUUUUGUGUCAAAAAGAGGCAAGUGGAGUAGGGGUAGAAAAGACAAAAGUAUUAACAGUUGAAAAGAUAUUUUUUGUUUAUUAUGCAGAAACGGGGCCAAUAAAAGAAUGAUAUUUUGUCCCCCACCCACUAGGAAAAGAAAAGGAACAACCCAAUAUCUAGAUCUAGUGUAAUUUUAUCGGUGAAGUUAAAAAAAAAGAAUGAUAUUCAUAAAGUCUGUAUACCUUACUUUUACUUUUGUAGAAAUGGAGAGAUUGUUUCAGAUAACACAAAAAAAAAAAUCACACCAUAACUUUAAAAUAUGUAUCAUUUUUUUUACAAAUAUCAUAUUUUAUGUUUAAACGGCCACACAAAAAUUUGUUGAAAUUUUGUCAUUUACACAUACUUAAGUACUCUCUUGAAAUUGUUAGAGGUAUCAAGUUGUUUAGUUUAUCACCAUUCUUUUUAUUUAAAAAAAAAAGAGAAGGGAUUAUACGUAAAAUCGAAAUUCUAUCAUUAAAAUAAAGUUUAAAUAGUUAAAUAAUUAAAAAUAUUUCAAUUUACCUUCGUCAUUAAUUAAAAAAAAUUAAAGCAGUAGAUAGAUCUAGAGACACAUGUUUCAUCUUUACUCAAAGAUUCUAACAUUCUCCAACACAAAGUCAAAAGAAAAUAGUGUAAAAAUAAUUUAGAUAUUAAUCAAAUCAUAUCUCAUUAUUGAAAAAUAUUAUCGUAAUUUCAAACAUUUAAAAGAAUAGUAUUCACAAAAUCAAGAAUAAUUCAUAGAUUAAACAUUAGGAAAACUCGCCAAGUAAGGCUUGUUUAAGUAACUGAAUAUCUCUAACCAUCAACAAAUAAAUUCAAGAAUCGAGUCAGACUAAGUAAAAACACUAUUAAUUCUUGUAGGGGUGAGAAGAAAAAAAAUAUUUUUUUAUUAUCUCGAAGAUAAAAAAUAAUAAUUGUAUAUAAUGCAUAGUCUUAAAAUAUUCCAUAGACGUUAAUUUCAACAACCACGCACAAGAAAAUUAAACAAAUAUAUAACUGAACAAAGACUUUAAAAACAUUAAUAAUACACAAGGUGUACUAUAUUGUUAAAAAAGAAAUGUGGUGGAGCAUACUAGAAGAUCCUAUAAAUUUUAUUAAUAAAAUUAGAUAAUCAAGAUUCAAAUUUCAAUAUUGCUAUUUCUAUUUACGUUUGAAUUACAUUUUUAUAGUGGAAGGUAAUAAGUAUUCGAUUCAAAAGUCAAAUUGGUUGACACUACCUUUAGUAAAAAAAAAAAUAUUAGGUAUCAAGUUUCUUCUUUUUGAUAAAUUAUAUGUUCAAUUCGAUUACGUGCACCUCUUGCUAACUUCAUCAAUCUUCUAGUAUUUUGACUCUUUGAACCUGAUUUAGAAAUUUUAAUCGUCAUGCCCUUUUUAAGAAUUUUCCCAAAUAUUCAAACAAAAGAAGAUUAUGAACCUCCAUAGACAUGGAAACAAAAUAAACUAGAGAAAUGUCAAGCAAGAAAACACUCUCCCUUUUAACCGGUUUAUGCGACACGAAUCUAAAUUAAUCAAAUCAACAAAUUCAUUCAGAAUAUCAAAUAAUUAGACUAAAAGGAAUGAUAGAAGAGAGAAUAUUCAUCCUUUAACGGCUUUAUGCUACACUAAUUUAAAUUAAUCAAACUCAAAAAAUGUCUGAACUAAAAAGAAUGAUAAGAAGUUAGUUCGGCCUAGACCAUCAUGAAUCUAAAUUAAUCAAACUCAAAAUAAUAAAAAAGAAGAAUAGCUAUAACCUUGCCCUUGACUAUCUUACACAACACAAACACGAAUCUAAAUUAGUCCAGUCAGUAAAUUUCAAAUACAAAAUCAUUCAACUCCCAAAAAAAAAGAAGUAUAUAUAAACUUGCCCCUUGACAAUCUUACACAACACGAACACAAAUCUAAAUUAAUCAAGUCAUAGUAAAUUUCAAAUACAAAAUUAUUCAACCCCAAAAAAUAAAAUGGAUAUAAACUCCCCCCCGGCCCCCCUUGACUAUCUUACACAAAUACAUAAACGGAAUCUGAACCAGUCGAGUCAGUAAAUUUCAAAUACAAAAUCAUUCAAUUCCUUGACUAUCUUAUACAACACAUGAACACGAAUCUGAAUUAGUCGAAUCAGUAAAUUUCGAAUACGAAACAAUUGAACUCCAAAAAGAAAAGUUAAUAAGAAGAAUAAAGAACCUGUAUUGUCGAUCAUAAGGUGAAAUAAUAAAUCUUUUAAGCUUAACUCUUCUAUUACUUCUUGCACCAAGUGAAGGUAAAAUUCCAGUAGAAAGACUAUAAUGACUACUUUCUCUUGAUAAUUGUUCUAUUUCUUGUGCUGCACCACACAUUGAUACUCCCAAAACACCUAAUCCUCUAUUAUCUCCCAUAACUCUAAAAAAAUAAAAUUAAUUUUUUCUCAAAAAAAAAAAAAUUAAAAUUGUGUAUAUUGUCCUCUCUUGUUUUAUGAACUUUGCUAUAUAUAUAAAGAGAAAUAGAUGGAAAAAAUGUAAAAAAAUGUAUAUAUAUUUAUAGAGGAAAAAAGGUUCUUUUUUUAGGAGACACCUACCAAUAUAGUUUGUCUCGUGAAUCUUAUAACACAUGUUGUUGGUGAAUAUUAUGUAUUUAUUUUGACUGAUUUGAGAAAAGGAAAAAGAGAGGAACUUAUAUAGUUUGACAUUUUUUUAAUUUUAUUUUAGUUUUGCUCUUUUUUUGGAAUUUGGUGUUUAAAACGUAUAUAUUGGGAUCUGAUUAAAUCUGGAUUCAUGUGAUUCAGAAUUUAUUUUUGAAAGUUGCUUUUUAAAUGGGAUUUUUUUUUAAUUCAUUUUUAAGAAUUCAAACUUGAAGCCCUUAGUUAAGCGUAGAAGAAAUUAAAUUUAGAUUACAUAAUUUAAAAUUUAUUUUUAAAAAUAUAGUUUUAAGCGAAAUUAAAUUUCGUUAUUUUGAGCUUGAAUUCGAAACUUUUUGUUUGCUUGUGCACACAUAUGGAGAAUAGAGUGUACUCUUUUUCAUUCUUGGUUAGUGUAUUUAAUUUAUAUAAAAAUAUUUAAUUGGAUAUAGAAUUUAGAAAGAAUAAUGGAUAUUUAAAAUUUAUGAUAUAGAAUAAGUCAAUAAAUAAAAUUUAUGUGGCUUUAAAUUAACUUAAUAAAAGUGAAGUGAAGAUUCAAAAUAUCUUUUUAUAAGUCAAUAAAAUUUAUGUGAUUAUAAAGCAUUAAACAAGAAUACAAUUUUGUUUUACCAUAUAAGGACAAUUACUUCUUUAGUUUGUUUGUUUCAAUUUAUAUAUAAAUUAUCAAGAGUUUAAGGAAAAAAAGGAUAAUAGGAAUUUAAGAUCUACCAUAAUUAAAGUAUAUAAUCGUAAAUUAAUUUAUUAAGUUAAAAUAAAAUUCUAGAAUUAAAUAAUUGCAUCAUGUGAAAAUGUUACUUUUUAAAAAAUUGAUUAAAAUUAAAAUAAUGUCACAAAAAAUAACAAUAAAUGCCAUCAAUAGUAUGAUUAUAAAUUUUAAAAAAAUCAUAGGUUUUAAUUACAAAUACAUCUAAUUCAAAAUUUAACAAUUUUUUAUUCAAAAUUUGUAACACAUUAUCAAUAUUAUGUAUAAGGUAAUGUGAAAAGGGAAAAAAAGAGGAACUUUUGCAGGUUUUUUUUUGUAACUUUUUUGCCAUUUAUUUGACACGUAUGAAAAAUAUUUAUAUUUUCUUUGACUCAAAAAACAUAAAAAGAUAAAUAUGUCGGCUAAUGGACCAUGGAUUAUAUACUUUUAUUGUAUUUUAUUAUAUAAAAUUGGUAACUUUUAUUUGACUGGUUUUGUCUUAAUUUAUGUAAAAUGUUUGUUUGACCAGAAAUAGAAGAAAAAUACAAAUGAAAUUUGAAAUUCAUAGUCUUAACACAAAACAAUGAAACUCCUUAAAAUAAAAAAUUUGAGUUAAAAAACUUACUAAAUAUAGUAUUUUAUUGAUCGAUUAAAAUUGAAACAAUUAGAAUUCAUUUAAAUUUAUGAAUGUAAAAAUAUCAAUUUCUAAAUUAAGUUUUUAUUGUAUAAAAUAUUUAUCGGAUAUGAAAAUUUUAUUGAAUUGAGUUCGAUAUAGAAGUUCAAACAAAAAUUGUGUGGAUCGGGUUCAAACUUCUUUAAUGAUUUUGUCUUCCAUCAUGAUCAUCACACGUCAAAGGCGUACCUAAACUUUAGAGCUUGUGAACUUUUAUAUCUGUAUAUAGAGAGAAAGAGGCGGAUCCACCCAUAACCGAGGGUUUUCAAGUGACCCCUUUGUCGAAAAAGUCUAGCACAUAUAGAAGUUAAAUUUUGAUUUAUACGCAUUAACAUCUCUUAACAUAAAUUAAAUAUUUAGUCUAGUAAUUAACAUAUUAUAAAAUUUUCUUGAGAUAGUGUGUUCAGUCUUACUUACCUCGUAAUCAUCUGUUAUUGAAACCGUCAUUACUCUUUAAUGAUAAUUUUUUAAUCCGUUAUAUAUAUAAUUUCUAACUACUGAUCGUCAUUUUUUUUUUUCUUUUUGGCACUUUGUUUUGUGCAUACGCAAGACAAAUAUAAUUUUCUUGUCUUUUCCUUUUAAAGAUUCGAACUACCUUACUCUCUCUUUUUUUUCUCCUCUAAUUAAGGUGGCCAUUAAUAUUCAAGUUGACACAAUAUUUGUGGUACAAUAAUUUGUGUGCCUUAUCAUGAGAGUAAUUAAAGUGGAAUAAAAUAUUUUUUUUAGAAAAAGUUUGAAUAAUAAAAUAUUUUUUUUAGAAAAAGUUUGAAUAAUAAAAUAUUUUUUUUAGAAAAAGUUUGAAUAUGAUUCGAAUUGCAUUAAAUCUUAAUUUCUACUCUUCGUCCAUUUGUUAGUACCAAAAUUAUCUCUCAUAGUGGUGUUUAUAUUUGUAAAAUUUAUCAAAAUUUAAUUACUUUUUUAUUUUAUAUAAAGAACGUUAAAGUAUAAUAUUAAAACGAUAAAUUUUGUAAAUUUUGAUUAUAUUUAAAAGGGAAGUGAAUCACUAAUUCUUGAAACAAAAUGACACAAAUCUCAUAUUCAAAUUUUUUAUGUCAUUAUUCCUUAUUAGUUUUAUAAAUUUUCAAAAAAUUUCAUUUUCACGCAUUAAAUUAAUGUAUCUCGCGUAUCGAAUUAAUGUAUUUUACGUAUCAGAUUAAUGUAUCUCGCGCAUAUUAGUGUAUCGUAUAUAAAAUAUACAUCAGAUUAGUAUAUCAUGUAUGAGAUGUAAUGUAUCUUUCUUAACGAUUAAUAUAUCUCGCACGUCAAUUAAUAUAUCACCGCGUAUAUUAUUGUAUUAAUUUGAAAGAUUUAUGUUAUUAUAAACUUAUAAGGGAUAAAUAAUAAUUUUACCUUAAAACUAUGUAAUUUUUAUAAUUUUUCAAAAAUAAUAUAUAAAUAUCGAGUAUAAAUAAAUUUUUACGAAUUAAAAUCAAGGCACCGAGUGACAACCCCAAUUGCAUUAAGGCGACCUUCACAAUGUGCCUAGAAAACAGCCCUUCAUGAUAUAUUUAAUUAUUAUUUGCCCCAACCAAAAAAAAAAAAUUUAUAUUAAAAAAUUAUUUAUUUAUUAAUUUAUUUUAAUCAACCGACCAUAAAUAGGAAAAAAGAUUAAUGGGUCCCAUAAAAUAGUCAACUUCUGUACAAGAUUGAGCAGUUAAAAAGCCUUAAUCUGGCAACUAUAUAGUUGACUUCUUGGAAAUGUAAUGAUCCAUCCACUCCUUCAUUAAAUUUUUUUUAAAAUAAAUUCACUUAUUAUAUUUGACUUCCAAUUUAUUUUAUUAUCUACUAAUAAUAAUAUUAUCUUAUCAAGAAAUAAAUUUUAUAUAGGGAAAUCUAUAAUGAGAAUAUUUAUUUUAUGAAGCCCAUGAUAGAAAGCGUGUCGAUGAUGAGGAUGGAUCGGAAAAAAAAAAUCGAAAUAUUUUUAUAUUAAACUUAAAGAUAUAUUUAUAAAGCAUGUUGGGUGUAUAUUAUACGAGGAUUUUCUAUGAAAUCAGUAUGAAAAUUCAUAGCAAUAGCUUACAUAACGCAUAAGAUAUGUAUAUAUACAUAUGAUAGCGCUUUUGGGCUCGAUAAAAGUAUAGCUCAAGAAGCAAACCUUUUAGAUCAAAAAGUGAACAAUACAUGUUAUGAACUUGAAUCCCGACGAUUUUGAAAAGUUCAACUUCAUGCAUUAUAGUAUAAAAUUUUAAUAAAUAUUUUCACGUCAUUGAACAUCAUUAUAUAAAAUGAAAUAAAGAGUGUUAUUUUAUUACUUAAGCAUUAAAUAUAUUGUUAAUUGAAGUAUUAAGAAUUUCAUAACCACAUGAAAUCUAGUUAUAUGUAUUAUCUUAUUAUUUCAACGUUAAUCAAAGGCUAAUUAAAAAUUUCAUAUCUAUAAUUGGUAAUUUGGUAUAUAAUACUCGAUGUGGUUACUUAUAAAUUAGGAGUCUCCGUUUAUGUUACUAUCAUUAUAUUAUUAAUUUUUUGUUCAUUAAUUAUUCCCAAUAAUAUUUAGAUUAAUAUAUGAAUUCUGACAUAUAGUUGCAAAUUAAAAUGAUGUUAAUUAACUCAAGUCUAUCCAUAUGAAUUAUUAGAAAUAUAUAAUUGAUCACAUCAUUUAAUUAUUGAGUAGAAAAAUGAUGUUUUCAUUUUCAAUAAUAUUUUAAUGCCUACUUAACAGUCAAUAAAAACAUUAGUGAGAGUUAUUAUGGUUAGUCACAAUAAUAAAAGAAAUUAAUGUAAUUAAAUAAAAUCAUAAAGAUUACACUUGUGAUUUUUAAAAGAUUAAUUAGUAGUGAGAUAGUUGACUUGAGAAUAAAAGAAUUGCAUUAUGCAACAAAUAGGAUGAUGGCAAAUCAAACAAACAAAGAAUUGGUCUCCCAAAAAACGAAAUUAAAAUAAAUAAAAGUCAUCAUAAUGUAGAAAAAUAAUGACAAAUUUGGUGUUAGUUGAUGUAAUUUGAUGCUACCAUUUCUUUAUUUUUAUUUUAAGUGAUCUGUGACGCACUGUUGAAGUUAAAAAUGAUAUUAUUCAUCGCAAAAAAUACAUUUAUUUUAAAUUUUAAUGAAGAGUUAUUCAGUAAUAUUUGCUAAAAAAAGUGAUAAAAUCAUGCAUACCCCACCCCCACCCCACCCCACAUGCUUUGCUUCCAAGAAGCUUGACUAAUUGUAAUGAUAAAUGAAAAUUAAUUAAUUAAUACUUUCUCUGUUCCUAUUUAGUUGUCCACUUUAGAAGUGACGCACAUAUUAAAACACUAAUAAUUAUUAUAGGUUAGUUACAAUUUUAUCCUUAAUUUAAAAGAUUAUGCAACUCCCCAUGUAUAAUGAAUGUAUUUUCUGGUUUCAAAAAGCAUGCAUUAUAUCUUAAUAGUAUUAGAAAAUUUCUAGAAUUAAAUAAGGGCAUAUUAGGAAAAAAAAUUAUUAUCCUUUCUUGAUCUGUUAAAAUAGACAAGUAAAUAUGGACAGAUAUUAUAUUGAAGUGACACACAUAUUAAGACACCAAUAAUUAUUAUAGGUUAAUUAUAGUUUUACCCUUAACUUAGAAAAUUAUACAACUCUCCAUAUAUAAUAAAUAUAUUUUCUGGUUCCAAAAAGCAUGCAUUGCAUCUUAGUAGUACUAGAAAAUUUCUAGAAUUAAAUAAGGGCAUAUUAAGAAAAAAAUUAUUAUCCUUUCUUAAUCCGUUAAAAUAGACAAGUAAAUAUGGACAAAUAUAAAAAAAAAUAUGGACAAGUAAAUAUUGAAUCGGUUCAAAGCAUUGGUUGAAUAUAUAGCCUUUGAACUUUCCUAGGGUUAGGUAUCAGGAGAUGGAAAUUAAUGUAACCCCAUGACAAUAUUAUAUGUUGAUUUUUUCGUUUUAAAAUAAAUUUUACUUUAUUUUUUCAUAUUUAGCUAAAAGAAUUUACCAAUUUCUCCUUAUAGAAAGUUAAUCAACAAUAACAAUAAGACUUGUGUCACUUGUUGUUGGAAUCCUAAGAUGACAUAAAAAAAUUUCUUCCAAUUGAAUUUUAUCUCGAAAGUUAUGAGUAGAUUUCAGAAAGAACAAGCUAAAUGAAUUUGACGAAUUAACUAUCAACACUUUUUAUAGGUGGAAUUCAUAUUAUUUGAAUGAAAGAUAUUAAUAUAAUUUAAAAUAUUAAAUAAAAUUUAUUUUAUUUAAUUCUCGAGAAGUGAAAUAUGAUUCGAAACGGAGAGUAUCAAUAUAUAAUUGUUUCCUUGGACAACUCAUAAAUUUGAGGCAUUUAGAGCAUUAUUCCAAAAUUUGACUUAAGAAACAAAGUAUAAAAUUGGAACAAGUGUUUCCACCACGUUGUCACUAUAUGGGGGAUAAUUGAAGAAAAUUGUUAAUUAUUUUUCGUGAUAAUUUCUUUUUCAUAUUUAAUAUUUUUUUUCUAAAAAAAUAAAGUAAAUAAUUUUACUAUAACAUUCAUAAUUAUUACAUGUCAUUUAAUGUUCAGAGAUGAACUGAAAAUAACUAAAGCAUUAUCAAUAAAAAGAUAAAAAUCGUUAUAAUUAUAUGAUAAAUUAUUUUUUGAUUUUUAAAUUAAAUAAAUAAUUAUUCGAUUAAAUAAAGUAAUUUUUUUUCAACUUAAAUAGGAACCUAUUGGUAUAUAGGCUCAUAAGUUAGAGGCUCAAGAGAGAAAAAAUGGGUCGAUAACUAUUUUAAAAUUUAUGAAUUUGAAAAAUUGUAGCAAAAGUGUUCAAGGAAUAUGGAAAAGAUAUUUAAGUUUUAAUAAAUAUUUAUACAUUUAGUUAAUUUCUUUUUUAAUAUGAAUACAGGGUCUACAAUUUUACGAAAUAUGAUAUCUUGAUUCCGUGCUGUUGACGCAAAUUUUGUCUUUAUUUUCACAUUUAAUGGAUCGUUAAUUCAACACGUCACCAAGAACCAAAUUAUAUCUUUUCUUCCAAAAAUAUUAGUUAACACAAUUACUUUGUUGAAUUAUUUUUCAAAAUAAAAUCAUAACAAAUAUUUUAUUUGUUCUAAUUUAUUUGUUUUAGUUUUCCUUUUAAUCGUUAAAAAAAUGUCUCUUUUUUAAAAAAAACAAAUCUAUGAUUUAGAUUUUAUUUAAUGAACUUUUUGUUUUAAAAUUCUUCAAUUUCCUUAUUUCGUUUUUACGUAAUUCAAAUUAAAUUUUAAAGAAAAGGUCGAACAAAAUUUAUUAAAUAAUCAUCUACUUCCUGGACCUUUCAAUUAAAAUUAUACUCUAGUGAUAGCAUGUCGACCAUAAUGCCUAGUUAAAAUAUUUAAUUUUUUUUUUGAAAUAUAGGUGAUUGCAAUUUGCAACUUGUUUGAAAUUGAAAUCUAAUAAUUAUUCGUUAAAAGUUAAAUUUUUUUAUAAAAAAAAUCACUUCAUAAAUAGUGAAUACAUAAAAUAAUUGCGUAUCUCUUUAAUUGCUCAACCAUUUGGAAAUCGAAUUUGUUAUAGUGACGAAUUUAAAUUUAAUUUUACAAUUUUAAUAUAUUAAAUUAUUAUAUAUUUAAAGUUAUGAAUAUUUAUUCAUUUUCUAUUGUAAUAUUUAUAAUAUGUACUAUAACUUAUGUACUAUAUUAAAAUAUUAAAUUCGAUAAAUUUAGUGUUGAUAUGUUAUAUAUACUUCUUUAAAGUCAAAAGUUAUUCUGUAAUAUAUAUAAGUUAUUUAUCUUUAAUUAGAAUAGAACGAUUCACUUUUAUUGAUUGGAUAUAUAUUCUAAUUAAUUAAGGUCCUAAAAUAAUUAUCGAACAUCGAGAAACAAAAAUAUACUCCUCUCUACCCAACACAUUCAAAUCUUUUCCACUUUAUUAGGAAAAUUACAUUACAUAUAUAUUUCUUUAUGUGCAUAUAUAUAUAAAAAAUAUUAAAUCUCUUUAUUAUUUUUUGUGUGUAUUUAUUUUUAAAAAAAAUCGAAAUCUUUUUAAUAGAAAUUUCAUUGCUUUAUCCUUAGUCAAACUUUUCAAUAAAAAUGUCUUAUCUCCCUAAUGAACUUAUUCGACAUAUAUUUAAAUCAAUCAAAAAUUUAAUAUAUAGAUAUCGAAUCGUCAAAUUUAAAUUUUAAAGAAAACGUAAAAGCUAAACCUAUUAAACAAAAAGAACGAACGAGGAAAAAUGUACGUUCUUUUUCCCUUUUAGAAAAAAAAAAAAAGCAUGUUACUUUUAUAGUUUCAUUACCAUUGAAUGUGGAUGCUAAAUUUAUUCCUUAUAAUCUUUGAAUUUAUGAAUUUUAAAUUUUAAAAAUUAUAUUUUACAAGAUUUUGCGUUUUAAGUGACUUUUUGACACAUAUAUAUGAGAUUUGUGUCAAAACUAUCGAGUUAUGUCGAGCAUUCGAAUUUAUAAAUGAGCCCUUAAUCUUUACCAUUCUGUAUCAAUUAAUUUCUAUGAAAAAAUGUUGGAUUUUAAUCACUAUAAUAAAAUGUACUCCCUCAGUUUUUUUUAGUUAUCAUGUUAUAUUUUUAAGAGGUAAUUUGGUUAAUUUAUAAAGCUAAAUUAGAUUACAUUAAUUUGAUAUAUUAAAAUAAAAUUUUAUAUAUCUAAAAACUAUACAGAAAGUACUAUAAAUUACAAUCAAAAUUUAUUUAAUUUUAUUUUUUUUUAAAAAAAAUAGAACAACUCAAAAAAAAAAAUUAAUCAUUUCCCAAAAUAUGACCAUCCUUCACUUUUUUUUUUUUUAAAAAAAAAAACUCCUAUAUAUUCUUUUCCCAAAGGCUAAUAAAAAGCACCUAGGAACUCAAAAGUGGUAAAAUAAAAUAGAGGCAGUGUGGAUGACACAUGCAUUUAAAAAAUUCUUAAUAAAAACCCUACUUUGUUAAUAUUAUCUUUAUUUUUAAGAUUUUGUAACUAGUUUAGAAAGAUGCUAGUUUAAUGAUUUUAAAUUUUAAUCAUAAGAAUAUUGUAUGGCUAUCCUUUUAUCUCUUUUUUUUUUUUUUAAUCUCACUUCGUUAUUAGAAAAACGUGAAUAUAAUUUUUAAAUUCGACGUAAAAUUUCUUUGAAGAUUAGUUCAUCAAAAAUAACUUCAACAAAUUUGCUUUUAUGAAUCUCUGACUUAUAUAUUAUACAGAUAAAAUUUUAUUGUUACUUCGGAAUUCUCCUUUAAUUAAAGAAACCAACCCACAAUAAUUUGAAAAGGGGAAAAAAAGAUUAUAUUAGUUAAAAUGAUGUGACUUUUAGAAAUAUAUUGUGGUCAAAUUAGAAUAUAUUUUUUUCAAAGAAUCAAUGAAGGGUGUUAUUUAGCCAUUUAGGGUCCACAUUGAUUCUUUAAGGGUUGGUCCUAAGUCCCAAACAACUUGAUAUACUCAUAUGUAUUGCUUUUCUUGACAUUUAUAAUAAAAAGAAUUGUAUAAUCACAAAUUAUUACUUCUUUAUUUUAUUUUAUUAAAUUAUUUAGAUAAUAAAUAUAUAUAAUUUAAUGUAAAUAUUGAUAUAGAUAAAUUGCUCUUUACUAUAUUUGGUUUUUCUUUUUUUUUAAAAAAACAAGAUUAUAUCAUUGAACUACUUUUAAUUUAAGAUUUUUGUUUUUUUGGCUAUAAGAUAAUAGAUUUUUUAUUCAAAUUUCUUUUUGCUGACUUUAAAAUAUCGAUUGUCGAUCUAUCCAAUUUUUCUGUUUGACUUUGAAAUAUCGACUUUUGAUUCAAAUUUCUUCUUGCUUUAAGCAUACAAUACAAACUUUAUUAAUCUGGCUAAUUUGAACUUACACUUAAUUGUUGGGGAUGAUAUACACUCUAUUUAAGAAAACAGUUCCUUCGAGAAUUUAAAUGCGAAAUCUCCUAUGAAAGAAGUCAAAGUAAUCAAAACAUGGAGUGUCUGUUGAAGUAGUAUUGUUGUUUUUGAUAAAUACUUAUUUGUAUCAAACGUUUAUAUCAAAGUAAUCGUAAGAAUUAAAAGUUUCGAAUGAGAAUACAUAUUAUAAUCAUAGUUUUUACAAAUACAUCAUACAUGUAUAUAUGUCUACAUAUGUAAGACAUGUGUCUUGUAUUCAUUGGACUGAUAUAACUAUUUAGUGUCAAAGCAAAUUAAUUUUAACUCUAUGGGAUCCACCUUUAAGGUUAAUUAUUAGCAUUAAACUAGCUUUAAAAACUAAAACAUGGAUCAUACCUAUUAUUCAUUGCAAUUUUAAUAAAUUUCUAAAUAUAAAUUUAUAUUUCACGUAAAAAGUACAAGGAUGAACCUGAUACGAUACUAUUAGGCUCCAUCGGCCCCUACUCGGUGUAUGUAAGUUUUACCAUCCUAUUCACACUUGCCAAGUUGCUCUCAAUUUCGCGUUCGACGUAACAUCUACCAUUCUAGAGAUAUUUAGGCCCAGGCCCACCCAAUUUGAAAAAGACAGUGACAAACUAGAUUAUGGCCCAUCCCAAUAGGAUACAUAUAAUGUUUAAACAUUAUAUGUAUAAUAAUUUUUAUUUAUUAAGUUCUUCUAGAAUGUGAGAUUCGUAAAUAUUUUAAAAAAAAUAAGUUAGUAUCUUUAACAGAUAAAAGUAGCUUAAUACUGAUGAUUUUUUUAUACUGACGAUAUAUAAAACUUAAAUUCUACGGAUAAAUCAAAUUUUCCACAAGUAGAACAUUGAUGAUAAAAUCAAAUUAAACAUCUAUUUACAAUAUCCUGGACCAUAUUUAUUAAUACUUGGACCACAUUAUUGUUGACAAAUUUGUACUUCCUUUUAAUGGGCCUUGUUGACAAAUAUUACUUAUAUGGGCCUAAUUGUCAAACUUUUGAUUUAUCACUGAUUUUUAUAAUUUGGAUAAUUAUUGACUUUUACUUUUCCACAAGAAUAUCUAACACAGAUUUUUCUUGGUAGGCGUUUUAUCGUAAAAAUUAAAUAUAUUUCACUUUAUUUGAAAUUUAUGAGUGGGAGGUGAAGAUAAAGUAUUGUUUGAUUAUAUUUUUUUGUAAAGGAGGGAUGACGAUAUUUUAUUUGGAAAUUAUAAAGACAGAGUUGAAAAAAUAAGUUACUAAGUAGUAUUUCAAAUUCGAAAUUCAUCUCUCAUUUAAACAUUUGAUAUAUAUCCUAAUUUCACUAGUCUGAUUAAUACAAAAUUUUAUCGCGUAUGAUCCAUUUAAGGAGGAAUUGCUUUUUCCUAUCAUGAAUUUCUUCAUCGUUAUGAUUCGAAGUCCUGGUAAAAAGAGGAAGGAUCCAAAUUUGAAUUCAGAAUUUAAAAUUUAUGAAUUUCAACUCGGACUUCAAGUUAAUAUACAAUAAUAAUUAUGGUCAAAGUCCAAUAUUAAUAAGUGUUUGGUGAUUUUCUUAAUAAAUAUAUCAAUCGUGUUGAAUUUGAUUGGGCCAUAAAAUAAAAGUGUGCUUAAUGGGCCAUUGUUACAACUUAUCAACCCAACUCCUAAGUUUCAUUGACAAAGAUAAAGCCCAUAGUGAAAUUUCAUUAUUAAGUAGGCUUACACAAUACCACUAAUUUGAAGCCCAUUUCAUAAUAAGAUUGACGAUAAUGGGCCAUCCUAAGCUAAAAUUUUGGGCCCAUUAUCAAAGGAUAUACGUAAUUGAAUUCGAACGUAAUUGAGUGUAAUUAUACGUUUUCAAUUUAUUUGUCUGAUCAUGUGUUUGAACUCUAUUUACCACCGCACUAGGUCAAAGAGAUUCAACAAAGGUUCUUUGUUACUAAAAAAUAUUCGAUUUUUUCUUUUUGCUUAGUAACAAAGAACCUUUGAUUAAACCCUCUUUCCUUUCCUCUCUUCAACUCCGCUAUUCGAUUUGUUAGUCCAUAAAAGUUAAAACUCUAAUUUUAACCGCGCGAAAAUAUGGGCCCCAAAAGUAAGGUUUUUGUACUUAUGAGUUUUGUUAUGGACUGAGUUUGGCCUUGUCUGAUUUUAUGGGCCAUGGAACAAAGGUGGGUUCUAAUAAGUUAAAUCAAAGUUGUUAGUAAAUUUUGACACACAAAGGUCCAAAACAUAGCAUGCUUAUGGUUCCUUCAUGAGUUACCAACUUUGUUGUAUAAAAGUUCUAACAAAAAUAACAUAAAAUCAUAAUGAAACUCAAUCAAACAACUUGUUCCUUUGAAGUUAACAUUUCAUCAACCACUUAGAAAGACAAAUAGUCUUUAGACAUGUAAUUAUGAAAAAACAAAAAAAAAAAGGACAUAUGGGCUUCAUUAUGUUUUGGGCCUUUUAUUUGUGGGACACAAUGAAAAAGCCCACUCAUAAUCUCUUCUAAAUGAUCAAGGUGAGGUGUACUCUAUUAUUAUUCUUUUCUUUUUGGUCUAUUCCAAUGAAAAGAUUGAUAUCUAUUUAUAUAUAAUAUAUAUAUUUGUCGUUAAUGACAUGACUUGUUGAAAAUCACUUUAAAAAAAGAUAUAAUUGAUGUGUUAUGUAAUUUCUGGUAUGUGUCGAAAGCCGUUCUUUCUUUUGUUAUAUAACACCUUAUUAAUAUUUCGGACUUAGAACAUGUUAUAUGCACCACAUGAUUUUGUAAGAUUAAACAUGACGUAUAUAAACAUGUGUCAAAAAGAUUUUAUUUCUUUCCUUUUCAAAACAUGUUUUCGAUAAAAUAUGGUCUUAUAAAAUAAAAGAUGUUAAUAGAUGCCAAAGCAUCUUUACACUAAAAUUUUAAAUUGUUUGAUCAAAAGCAUCACUCCUUGAGGUUGUAUUCGAAUAUCCUUUACACACACCCUGACCAUGAAAAUAUAUUACAGCAGACCAAAUAUUUUUUUGAUUGUGUAAAGGGGAUUGAAUUCGAGUACAACCUCAACGCGUAGACCUUAUAUUGGUUGAUAAUACAAUAGUACAUUUAAACAAACUUGUAUGAAAACAAUGAGACAUGAGUUAAAUAGAGAUGUUUGGUUUAUUUGUCUAGUCCAAGUUUAAACAUUGAAACAAAAAUUCAGAAAAUAACAAAUGAUCCAUUUAAGUAGUUGGGGUGCACCUUGUUCACCUUAUCAACUUAGUCUCAAUUGAUGUGUCUCUAUCCAUGUCUGUUCAAAUCACAACCAAAUAUAAAGCCCAUUCCCUACCCCCCCCCCCACCCCCACACCACCCCAUAACUAGCACUCAUUGGCCUUUUUUUUAGGUCAUUCUUUAAAUCGUUAGUUCAGUGGGCUAAAUCUCGUCUUUAAAAAUAAUUCUAUAAAAAAAAAUUCUCUCUCGAAUACAAAUUUAGUCCACUAGACUAAAGAUGACAUAAUCUAAUAGCUUCAAAAGAAGGUCAUUUAUGCAAACUCCUCACCUUACCCCUAUACUUUUAGGCUACUUUUUAAAUAAUGUCAUUAUUAGUCCAAUGGGCUAAAUUUCGCUUUGUAAAGUAACUAUUUAAACUUUAUUGUUAUAGAUUAUGAUAAAAUUUUGUUUAUUAUUGAACUAAUAUGAACAUAAUUUAGUAGUGGAUCUCAAAAGAGGCUAUUUGUGCAAAGUGGCCCACCCUAAACCCCACUUCUUUAAUGGACUGAAAAUACAGUAUUGUUAUUGUCCACUAGGCCAUCCCCAUCAUUCCAACCCAAAAGUGAGUGUACAAAAGCUGGUCUGUUACUUCACCAGCAUGUUCAAAAACUAGAUAGAGGGGUGUGGCCUCAAAAGUACACUUCUACAAGAGAGAAAAAAAAAUGUUCUUGGCCCAUUUACAAAAUUAAUGGGCCCAUUUUAAGUUUUUUUGGGGGGUGAGUUGAAGGCAACAAUUAAUAACUUUCAUUGUCGGUGGGUGGUUGGUUGUUUGUUUCUAUAUACAUGUUUCAAAAAAAUUGCUAUGUGGUAGAACGAAAAGUAUUUCAUCGUUCUUAGUUAGAGGUUUUGAGUUCGAGUUCUCAAGUAGUCAUUGUGUUCAAAACUAGGAAAAGGAAUAAAGAAUGUUGUUAGAGUUAAAAACUAAAAGAACUAAAAUAAAUCUAACAAGUCUAACUUUAUUGUAGGUAUCGAGCAUCGUAUAUAUAUUGUUGAUCCACAAGCCAAAUCCUAUCAUAUAUCUUUUCAAGAUUCAUCUUCUAUUUACUAGUUGUUUUUUUUUUUUGUAUAUGGUUACCCCUUAAUUUGCCUUUUGUCCCUACUAUAUUGUUUCUCUUUUUGUGAAUUGGCUAUUCAUUCUUCAUGAUAACUCACUUCUUUAAGAUCCAUUUGUCUUCUUACAUCCACAUCUAUGUAAUAUGACUUGUAAAAUAUCAAAACUAAAGUAUAUUAGCAAAAACUAGAAUCACAUUCAUAAGCUAAUUAGUCUUAUUUUCUUUCUUUUGGUCACAAAUAUUUAAGAUGACACAAUGUAGGUAGUGAUAUGUAAUAUAGUGAAAGGGACAUAGAGAGGUCUUUAAUUUGGAAUAAUAAAUUUGGGAUUUCUCAAGUGUCACAUGGACUAUCAUGUGAUGAUAUGGAAUUUCAAGAAGCCAACAUGGAUACUCUUAUGGUAGGGUAAAUGGUACACCAUGAUCAUCAUGAGAUGUGAUGGAGGAGAUUUAAGAAUUUAGUACACACAUCAUUAUUUAAAAUACGCGGAUUUUUUUUUGGAGGGAAAAAAUCAAUUGACAACUAUCGGUAAAUUCAAAAUCUACAGUCAACUUAUCCUAAAUGAGUAUAAUCGCAUAUAUACACAUAUUACAAAUAAAAAGUACUGAAUUCAGAUGACUCGUACUAGAUUCGUUCCUACCUUAGCUCAAAGAGGGGGGAGUGCUUUGUAAGAGGACAUGUUGGGGCAUAGUGGCAUGUGGUUAAGCUCACAAAAGGGAGAAGCACAAAGAGGAGGAUAGGAAGCAAUUGUCCUUUUCUUUGCAGCAAGUAACACUUACUAGUGAGGGAGUGAGUAGUAAGUGAAAUCUAAAGACUAAAAGUUCAUUGCCUUUUCUUCAAUUCUUUCUUGCCAUCCUCAUUUUAGGGAGGGUAGUGGUGGUGGGGUGGCUAUUGGAUUUGCUUUUUAUGAUUACUAGAUUUUAAUCAACUCAACAUUCUUUUAGUUAACACUUGGAAGUUUCUAAUUUAAUACUCUCUUAUUUUGCAUAUUAGAGUUUUUCUUUUUUUUUUUUACUUUACAUGCUUCUACAAAAUCAUAAAUAAGAGAAUUGUGUUUACCUAUUUACCCUUUAAUUUAUUUUUUUCAAAAAAAAACUUUAUUAAAACAAAUAAAUUGUAAAUGAAAAGUGCACAUUGUCAUCAUGUAUGUAUAUACAUAUAUAUGGCUUACCACCUGAGCCUUCUGAAAUGUCAUUGUUGUUCUUUGCCUACUUGCUUUCCUGUCCAUUUUCACAUGACAAAUGGCAAAACAUUGACACCAUUAUAUUGGGACAUAAAAUUACAAACUUUGUAUUCAUCAUUACCUGUUUUACUAUGUUAUAAAGUUAAAAACACAAGUUUAUGUUUCUCAUUUCAUGUACCGUAUCCAAAUUGGAGCGUGAAUUAUAUUUGGAUUUCUACCGAAAAGUUCACAUUAGAGAUAAAACGCUCCCUAACAAAGGCGAUACUGUACUCAAAGGGACUCGAAUCUGAUACCUCUUUGUUAAGGAUGAAGGAGUACUUACCACUCCAUCACACCCCUUGUUGGUAAACUUGAGAUACUUAAACGUUCUAGAAAGGCGAAUAAAUAUAGUUGAUUGUUGCAGAGAGAGAUUUGUGUAAUUAGAGUUCUGGCUUAACUAUCUUAAUACCUUUCUUAAAGGGUGAUUUGGAGACUGAGUGCUCUUUAGGUGUAUUUGAUUUUUGUUUGUUAAUGGUAAUUUACAUUGGUUAUCGAAAGAAAAAAGGAAAAACAUAUGAAUUCGAAUUAAUUAAAUUAGUAAAUUCAUAAAAUCAAAAAUAAAAAAGAUAUAGGUGGUAAAGGAACAUUAAUCAAAAUAUUGAGGGGUUUUACUGAAAAAGCAAGAAAAACAAAGGCCUCGAUAAACGAAGGGUAUCUGAGCAAAAAAAGGAAAAGAAAAUAAUAUUUUUUAAAAAAGACGAAAAGUUCGAAAAAAAGUACGGAUUGGUCCGUGAGGAUUCUCUAACUGGCAGUGACAGAGUUUGUUAUCUUUGUGUACUUAACAAACCAACCUGACAAUUUUAUCUUUUUUACAUACUUUAUUGAACUUUGUGAAAUUUUUUAAUUCCAUUUCUACCCUUGUAAAUUUAUUUUUAUAAAUAGUAAUCAUAAUUAUAAAAAAAGAAAUUAAUUACAACUUGCAAUUAUUUUAAUCAUGGAUUAUUUGCAUGCUCUCUCACACUUUAUAGUUUUGCUUCUUAAUAUCCAAUUAUAAGAAGGUGAUUUUGAUUGGUAUCGAAGUUUAAGAAAUUAAAAUAUAAUAGUUUGAAACGUAUACGAAAAAGGUAUCACGUUUUAAAAUUUUGUCUCCAUGUUAAAAUUUUUACAAAUAUAGUCAUUAAAAAGCGUAGCCUUUCAUCAUAAUAUUUAUUUUGAUUCUUUGAAGCUAAUAUUUAUUAUUGGAAAAUUACACAUAUGACCCUUGCAAUAAUAUGCAAUAUUUUAAACCUUGAUACAAUUUUUAUAUGAAAUUUUAAGUUGUUCAAAUAUAAAUUUUUAAAUAUAAUACGAAAAGAUUCAUAAAUUGCAAGAAAAAUUAUAUAAAGAUCAUUUACCAAAUAGUUAUUUUGGAUAGAUUUUUUUUUCUAUUUUUAUACAUUAGACGUUAUGAAUUCAGAUGAAUUGAAGCUUAAAAAAAAUUAUGGAACAUUAAAUAAAAGAUAUAUAUAAUUAGGAAAGCAAAAAAAGGUAGAAAAAGGGUAUCAAAGGACAAUGAAGAAAAAUAAAGAAAUUAAAUGUGGGUACAAUUAACAGCAAUAAAAACAAAUUUAUAAUUCAGUAUCAUUUUGGAUAAUAAAAACAAAUAUAUAGCUGGAAACUUCAAAGAUAAUUUUUUUGUGAAAAAUUUAGAAAUAGUAAAGACAAUAAAUAUUAUAAGGCUAUUAAUUAUAAUUUUGAUAAUUGUACUUUAUAUUUUUAAUUUUGUUUUCUAAGAAUGAUGUGAUUUGUGUAUUUCAUUUGUCUGUUAUAUUUUCCUUGUAAAUAUAUCUUUUUUAUUUUAUUCUUCACGUCCAGGAUUACGUCCGGGAUCACUAGAUAGGAAUCCAAAGAUGAAGAGAGAAACAAAAAAUAUCACUACUGUGUAAACGAAGAGUUUGAGAGUAAGCAUUACACAAUCUCCAAGAUGAUUUUUUUGAAAAAAAAAAAAGAGAAUAGAUCAUCCAUCGCAUAUCCUAGUUUGACACCAAGCAACGAAGCUCUUUCUCUAAAAGAAUUUUCAGAAAUUCUUUUAUAAUAAGAGUUUGUCAUUAACCAAAUUUUUUAUAUACACAAGAGGAGCCUAAUAAGGUCUUUCACUGGAAAGGAAAGCGCCAAAAAAGAAGGAAAUUAAGUUAAGCCGGAUUUCUCGUGACUAUUCAAGAAUUUCAAUGUUUGAAUUGAGAUUUCAAACGGUAAAGCUUAUCUGAUUUCAUUGAUUUUCUAAUUUUUUUCUCGAAUAAAUCAUGAAUUUUCUAGGAUAUUAUUAAGGAUCUCAUCGAAAACUUACAGCAGC